AUUGCAGUUGACGAUAACGCAGACAGGGACAUUGGUACUUAUGCUAAGGAUGGUGGUUUGUCUUUGGGACUCUCUCCGAUGCAUA
Small nucleolar RNA from Vigna angularis (adzuki bean), 85 nucleotides. It matches the Rfam family "Small nucleolar RNA R44/J54/Z268 family". From Rfam's summary of the family: R44, J54 and Z268 are members of the C/D class of snoRNA which contain the C (UGAUGA) and D (CUGA) box motifs. Most of the members of the box C/D family function in directing site-specific 2'-O-methylation of substrate RNAs. The record is from Rfam. NCBI's taxonomy places the organism in Eukaryota, Viridiplantae, Streptophyta, Magnoliopsida, Fabales, Fabaceae.